GUUUAUGUCCAACAUUUCAGUUAAAAGUGAUGCAAGAGCACAAAGGGGAGAGAAGUAUGGGUAGUUUAUCAGUUGCAGCAGAGGUGUUUGAGAUAAGCCCAUCUUUAUUUGUUGUUGAAAUAAGAAAGUCAUAUGGUGAUUCUUCUGCAUAUAGACAGUUGUGUGAAAAGCUAUCAAAUGAUUUAGGUGUUCCCGCAAGCCAAGGGUUGUUGACUAGCCAAGUGUGAAAACCAUGUUCUUUGCAAAGUCAAACAACAUGGUAUUUAAAGCCUUGGAGAGAUGUAGAUAGUAUAGAAUCCUAUAUUACGAUUUGUGUAAAUUUUCAGUUUUGGAUGUAUGUCAGUGUUAAUAUGUAAGACUCGAGUAAAUGUGAAAUAUAUUUUUGAUUGCAAGAAGAUAUCCUUGUGAAGAA
Molecule: non-coding RNA, 412 nt
Organism: Prunus avium (sweet cherry)
Lineage: Eukaryota; Viridiplantae; Streptophyta; Magnoliopsida; Rosales; Rosaceae
Source: RefSeq, a predicted model, not a curated record